AGAGUUUGAUCAUGGCUCAGAACGAACGCUGGCGGCGUGGAUAGGACAUGCAAGUCGAGCGCUAAUUUCACUGUAGCAAUACAGUGGAGUUGGAGCGGCGCAAGGGUGCGUAACACGUGGGUAAUUUGCCGUAGAGUUGGGGAUAACUCGCUGAAAGGCGAGCUAAUACCGAAUGUGGUUUUUGGAAGGCAUCUUCUGACAACUGAAGCUGGGGACCGCAAGGCCUGGCGCUCUAUGAUAAGCCCGCGGCCUAUCAGCUAGUUGGUGAGGUAACGGCUCACCAAGGCUAAGACGGGUAGCUGGUCUGAGAGGACGACCAGCCACACUGGAACUGAGACACGGUCCAGACACCUACGGGUGGCAGCAGUCGAGAAUUUUUCUCAAUGGGCGCAAGCCUGAAGGAGCGACGCCGCGUGGGGGAUGAAGGGUUUCGAUCCGUAAACCCCUGUCAUUUGUGAACAAUGGUUGCGAUUGAAUAUUUCGUAACUUGAUAGUAAUGAAAGAGGAAGGGACGGCUAACUCUGUGCCAGCAGCCGCGGUAAUACAGAGGUCCCGAGCGUUGUUCGGAUUCACUGGGCGUAAAGGGUGCGUAGGUGGCAUGGCAAGUUUGAUGUGAAAGCUCAGGGCUUAACCCUGAAAUGGCAUUGAAUACUGCUGUGCUGGAGGUUUGGAGGGGGGACUGGAAUUCUUGGUGUAGCAGUGAAAUGCGUAGAUAUCAAGAGGAACACCAGUGGCGAAGGCGAGUCCCUGGACAACACCUGACACUGAGGCACGAAAGCUAGGGGAGCAAACAGGAUUAGAUACCCUAGUAGUCC
This 815-nucleotide ribosomal RNA is filed under the name uncultured bacterium. Its description in RNAcentral is "bacterial SSU rRNA". It matches the Rfam family "Bacterial small subunit ribosomal RNA", at positions 8 to 796 of the family's 1533-position model. The record is from RNAcentral.